Molecule: unclassified non-coding RNA, 380 nt
Filed under: uncultured Rickettsiales bacterium
Lineage: Bacteria; Pseudomonadati; Pseudomonadota; Alphaproteobacteria; Rickettsiales
Description: contains 16S-23S intergenic spacer region
Source: RNAcentral
UCCUACUUAUCAUAGGCAGUUUCCUUAGAGUUCCCAGCAUUACCUGAUGGCAACUAAGGACGAGGGUUGCGCUCGUUGCGGGACUUAACCCAACAUCUCACGACACGAGCUGACGACAGCCAUGCAGCACCUGUGUUCCUCCCACCCGAAGUGAAGGACUCCGUCUCUGGAGUCCAUAGAGGACAUGUCAAGGCCUGGUAAGGUUCUUCGCGUUGCCUCGAAUUAAACCACAUGCUCCACCGCUUGUGCGGGUCCCCGUCAAUUUCUUUGAGUUUUAACCUUGCGGCCGUACUCCCCAGGCGGAAUGCUUAAUGCGUUAGCGACGUCACUGAGGGGGAACCCCCCAACAACUAGCAUUCAUCGUUUACAGCGUGGACUAC